UUCCGGUUGAUCCUGCCGGAGGUCACUGCUAUUGGGAUUCGACUAAGCCAUGCGAGUCGAGAGGGUUCGGCCUUCGGCAGACGGCUCAGUAACACGUGGAUAAUCUGCCCUUAGGUGGAGGAUAACCUCGGGAAACUGAGAAUAAUACUCCAUAGAUCUAGGAUGCUGGAAUGCACUUAGAUUGAAAGUUCCGGCGCCUAAGGAUGAGUCUGCGGACUAUCAGGUAGUAGUCAGGGUAAAGGCCCGACUAGCCUACGACGGAUACGGGUUGUGAGAGCAAUAACCCGGAGACGAUAUCUGAGACACGAUAUCGGGCCCUACGGGGCGCAGCAGGCGCGAAACCUUCACAAUGUGCGAAAGCGCGAUGAGGGGAUCCCAAGUGCUUGCUCGUAAGAGUAAGCUGUUUUUAUGUCUAAAACGCAUAGAGAGUAAGGGCUGGGUAAGACGGGUGCCAGCCGCCGCGGUAAUACCUGCAGCUCAAGUGGUGACCGCUAUUAUUGGGCCUAAAACAUUCGUAGCCGGUUUGGUAAAUGCCUGGGUAAAUCGUGUAGCUUAACUAUACGAAUUCCGGGUAGACUGCCAAACUUGAGACCGGGAGAAGCUAGAGGUACUCCUUGGGUAGAGGUGAAAUUCUGUAAUCCUAGGGGGACCACCAGUGGCGAAGGCGCCUAGCUAGAACGGGUUUGACGGUGAGGAAUGAAGCCCUGGGGCGCAAACCGGAUUAGAUACCCGGGUAGUCCAGGGUGUAAACGCUGCUUGCUUGAUGUUAGUUGGGCUCCGAGCCCAAUUAGUGUCGGAGAGAAGUUGUUAAGCAAGCUGCCUGGGAAGUACGAUCGCAAGAUUGAAACUUAAAGGAAUUGGCGGGGGAGCACAGCAACGGGUGGAGCGUGCGGUUUAAUUGGACUCAACGCCGGA
RNAcentral lists this ribosomal RNA (915 nucleotides) under uncultured archaeon. Its description in RNAcentral is "bacterial SSU rRNA". It matches the Rfam family "Archaeal small subunit ribosomal RNA", at positions 1 to 922 of the family's 1478-position model. The record is from RNAcentral.